GACAUAGAGUCAGAUGGAGGAUUGGGAUACAUCACCUUCACUAUCCAUGAUCAUGAGUAUCUACUGACCAUCAGAGAGCUGGAAGGCUUGUUUGGAUUCCCUAAUGGAACAGGGACUGGGCAAAGGAUUGAUAGGGAUGAAUUGUUGGCUCUUUGAAAAACGAUUGGGAAUGAGAAUAAGUUCGCUUCAUCUAGGACCAAGAGCAACCACAUCAGAA
RNAcentral lists this long non-coding RNA (217 nucleotides) under Capsella rubella. Its description in RNAcentral is "long non-coding RNA (CRUB_LNC002160)". The record is from RNAcentral. Lineage: Eukaryota; Viridiplantae; Streptophyta; Magnoliopsida; Brassicales; Brassicaceae.